AUGGCCAAUGUGAUGUUAAAAUCCUUUGCAAAACUGAAAUACUAUGGAGGGGACAUUGCUUUUUGGGAUAUUGAACCAACCUUGCAGUCCUGGAAUAAAUCCCACUUGGCCGUGGUGAAUAAUCCUUUUAAUAUACUGUUGGAUCCUACUGGUUUGUAUUUUGGUGAGAAUUGUCGCAUCUGUGUUCAUCAAGGAUAUUGGUCUGUAAUUCUCUUUUUUGAUGUGGUCUUUGUCUGUUUUUGGGAUCAAGAUAAUGCUGGUCUCAUAAAAUGAAAAAACUUUAUUUUUUAAGCAAUCUCUACACCCAACGUGCAGCUUGACCUCAUAACCCCAAGAUCAAGAGUUACACACUUCACUGACUGAGCCAGCCAGGGGUCCCUCACUUUAAAUUUCUAAAAUGGCGAAUACUGAAAGGCAGCCCAAAUAAACAAGAGCUUUUGGGAGCCUUUGAUAAUUAAGAGUAGAA
Molecule: long non-coding RNA, 466 nt
Filed under: Mustela putorius furo (domestic ferret)
Lineage: Eukaryota; Metazoa; Chordata; Mammalia; Carnivora; Mustelidae
Description: lncRNA (ENSMPUG00000026377.1)
Source: RNAcentral